GCCUCCUUAGCUCAGUGGUGGAGUGUUGCACUUGUAUAAAGAAUGUGGUUUGAGUCAUAUCGCGUUAUAUUAUACAAUGCGAAGGCCAGUCGUUCAAUCCGGCUGGAGGCA
This is a non-coding RNA of Rhodocollybia butyracea, 111 nucleotides long. NCBI's taxonomy places the organism in Eukaryota, Fungi, Basidiomycota, Agaricomycetes, Agaricales, Omphalotaceae. The record is from the annotation of a GenBank genome assembly.